This 460-nucleotide ribosomal RNA is filed under the name uncultured bacterium. Its description in RNAcentral is "partial 16S ribosomal RNA". It matches the Rfam family "Bacterial small subunit ribosomal RNA", at positions 338 to 795 of the family's 1533-position model. The record is from RNAcentral.
CCUACGGGGGGCAGCAGUGAGGAAUAUUGGUCAAUGGACGAGAGUCUGAACCAGCCAAGUAGCGUGAAGGAUGACUGCCCUAUGGGUUGUAAACUUCUUUUAUAUGGGAAUAAAACGCUCCACGUGUGGGAUUUUGUAUGUACCAUAUGAAUAAGGAUCGGCUAACUCCGUGCCAGCAGCCGCGGUAAUACGGAGGAUCCGAGCGUUAUCCGGAUUUAUUGGGUUUAAAGGGAGCGUAGGUGGAUUGUUAAGUCAGUUGUGAAAGUUUGCGGCUCAACCGUAAAAUUGCAGUUGAAACUGGCAGUCUUGAGUACAGUAGAGGUGGGCGGAAUUCGUGGUGUAGCGGUGAAAUGCUUAGAUAUCACGAAGAACUCCCAUUGCGAAGGCAGUUCACUGGACUGCAACUGACACUGAGGCUCGAAAGUGUGGGUAUCAAACAGGAUUAGAUACCCGGGUAGUC